GUACACGCUGUGACUAGCAUAUCAAUAAGCGGAGGAAAAGAAACUAACAAGGAUUCCCCUAGUAACGGCGAGUGAGGCGGGAAGAGCUCAAAUUUGAAAUCUUAAAGGGUUUCCCUUUACGAAUUGUAGUUUAAAGAAGUGUUUUCUGUUGAGGUUUUGGUAAAAGUUCUUUGGAAUAGGACAUCAUAGAGGGUGAGAAUCCCGUAUUUGACCUUUACUUUCAACUUUGUGAUACACUUUCAAAGAGUCGGAUUGUUUGGGAAUGCAGUCCAAAAUGGGUGGUAAAUUUCAUCUAAAGCUAAAUAUUGGCGAGAGACCGAUAGCGAACAAGUACCGUGAGGGAAAGAUGAAAAGAACUUUGAAAAGAGAGUUAAACAGUACGUGAAAUUGUCAAAAGGGAAGCGCUUGACACCAGUGUUGUUUUUCUGAAAAUCAAUUAAAGAACUGUUUAUGCUAAGCUUGUUUAGACUUUAUCAGCUAAUCUGUUUAGUUUUGAGCUUUUCUUUAAUGCACUUUUCAGUUAACAAGUCAACAUCAAUUUCUUUUGCUGUAAAAAAGCUUGAGGAAGGUGGCUUGAGAUUCGUCUUAAGUGUUUAUAGCCUCUUGCCUAUGCAGUCGGAGAGAUUGAGGUCUGCAGCGUAGAUCCUUCGGGGCUAAAUGCAUUUGUGCUAAGUUAUAGCAUUUCAUAGACAACUUGUUGACUAUGAUUUGUCUUGUAGCUUACUCGCUUAUGUUAUUUUACCUACGCUUAGGAUGUUGAUAUCGCGCUCUCACUG
Molecule: ribosomal RNA, 776 nt
Filed under: uncultured Neocallimastigales
Lineage: Eukaryota; Fungi; Neocallimastigomycota; Neocallimastigomycetes; Neocallimastigales
Description: partial large subunit ribosomal RNA
Rfam family: Eukaryotic large subunit ribosomal RNA
Source: RNAcentral